RNAcentral lists this ribosomal RNA (467 nucleotides) under uncultured bacterium. RNAcentral describes it as "partial 16S ribosomal RNA". It matches the Rfam family "Bacterial small subunit ribosomal RNA", at positions 28 to 507 of the family's 1533-position model. The record is from RNAcentral.
GAUGAACGCUGGCGGCGUGCUUAACACAUGCAAGUCGAACGGAAAGGCCUCUGCUUGCAGGGGUACUCGAGUGGCGAACGGGUGAGUAACACGUGGGUGAUCUGCCCUGCACUUCGGGAUAAGCCUGGGAAACUGGGUCUAAUACCGGAUAGGACAAUGGUUUGGAUGCUGUUGUGGAAAGUUUUUCGGUGUGGGAUGAGCUCGCGGCCUAUCAGCUUGUUGGUGGGGUAAUGGCCUACCAAGGCGUCGACGGGUAGCCGGCCUGAGAGGGUGUACGGCCACAUUGGGACUGAGAUACGGCCCAGACUCCUACGGGGGGCAGCAGUGGGGAAUAUUGCACAAUGGGCGCAAGCCUGAUGCAGCGACGCCGCGUGGGGGAUGACGGCCUUCGGGUUGUAAACUCCUUUCGCUAGGGACGAAGCGUUUUUGUGACGGUACCUGGAGAAGAAGCACCGGCUAACUACGUG